RNAcentral lists this unclassified non-coding RNA (240 nucleotides) under soil metagenome. Its description in RNAcentral is "partial contains 5.8S ribosomal RNA, internal transcribed spacer 2, and large subunit ribosomal RNA". The record is from RNAcentral.
AACUGAUACUACCUGCGGGAACCUGCGGAGGGAUCAUUACCAAAACGGCCGCAAGGCCAGUGGAGGGCUCGCGCCCGACACGCUACCCUUUGUGAAAACCUCUGUUGCUUCGGCGGCAUCCCACGGGGGCAACCCCGGGGUGUCAGCCCGCCGAUGGAAAACCCAGCAGUAACAAGAUUGUCUGAAAAAUUAGCGAAUGCUAUAAAACUUUCAGCAACGGAUCUCUAGAUCGGAAGAGCA